GAGAAUAUAGAUCAGUGGUAGACUGUUUGCUUAGCAUGCAUGAGAUCAUGGGUUCAAGCCCCAGUACUUCCA
RNAcentral lists this transfer RNA (72 nucleotides) under Camelus bactrianus (Bactrian camel). It matches the Rfam family "tRNA". From Rfam's summary of the family: Transfer RNA (tRNA) molecules are approximately 80 nucleotides in length. The record is from Rfam by way of RNAcentral. Lineage: Eukaryota; Metazoa; Chordata; Mammalia; Artiodactyla; Camelidae. RNAcentral also lists the same sequence under 2 other names.